AUAUCAUGUCUAGAAAACAAUACCAAAUUUUUUUUGAUACAGUAACACAUUAGAACUAAAUUUCAAAUAAGAAUAACUACAAAUUUAAGUAAAAAAAAAUCAAAAACAUUUCUUACAUAUAAUGUAUAUAUAUAGUUGAUACAUUUAUGCAAUUAUUAAUUUAUGAUAUUGAUGAGACUAUAUAUUUACAUAGGACUUUCAAAAAAGUUAUUAUCUUAUUAAUUUAUCGAUGUGUUACACUUUUUACAUUGGUCCUAACUUGGGAUCUGGUGAAUUUAUUAAUUUAUAGAGGUUACUAAUUUAUCGAGUAUUAAUUUAUGGAGGUUUAACUGUAAAAAGAGUUGAGGUUACCAUUGCAAUAAAAUAUGAGACAAUGUGUAGAGGAGGAUAAAAGAUUGAACAAAAAGAAGAAAGCCAACUAGUUUUUGUCAAAAGGAUAAUUUUCCAUGUGCAUGCAAGUAU
This 462-nucleotide small RNA is filed under the name Arabidopsis thaliana (thale cress). RNAcentral describes it as "ATSL123350". The record is from RNAcentral. Lineage: Eukaryota; Viridiplantae; Streptophyta; Magnoliopsida; Brassicales; Brassicaceae.